Molecule: ribosomal RNA, 505 nt
Filed under: uncultured bacterium
Lineage: Bacteria
Description: partial 16S ribosomal RNA
Rfam family: Bacterial small subunit ribosomal RNA
Source: RNAcentral
UCCUCCCUCUGGCGGCGUGCCUAAUACAUGCAAGUAGAACGCACAGUUUAUACCGUAGCUUGCUACACCAUAGACUGUGAGUUGCGAACGGGUGAGUAACGCGUAGGUAACCUGCCUGGUAGCGGGGGAUAACUAUUGGAAACGAUAGCUAAUACCGCAUAAUAUUGAUUAUUGCAUGAUAAUUGAUUGAAAGAUGCUAUUGCAUCACUACCAGAUGGACCUGCGUUGUAUUAGCUAGUAGGUGAGGUAACGGCUCACCUAGGCGACGAUACAUAGCCGACCUGCGAGGGUGAUCGGCCACACUGGGACUGAGACACGGCCCAGACUCCUACGGGAGGCAGCAGUAGGGAAUCUUCGGCAAUGGACGAAAGUCUGACCGAGCAACGCCGCGUGAGUGAAGAAGGUUUUCGGAUCGUAAAGCUCGGUUGUAAGAGAAGAACGGGUGUGAGAGUGGAAAGUUCACACUGUGACGGUAUCUUACCAGAAAGGGACGGCUAACUACGUG